GAUGAACGCUGGCGGCGUGCCUAAUACAUGCCAGUCGAGCGAACAGACGAGGAGCUUGCUCCUCUGACGUUAGCGGCGGACGGGUGAGUAACACGUGGAUAACCUACCUAUAAGACUGGGAUAACUUCGGGAAACCGGAGCUAAUACCGGAUAAUAUAUUGAACCGCAUGGUUCAAUAGUGAAAGACGGUUUUGCUGUCACUUAUAGAUGGAUCCGCGCCGCAUUAGCUAGUUGGUAAGGUAACGGCGUACCAAGGCAACGAUGCGUAGCCGACCUGGGGGGGGGUUCGGCCACACUGGAACUGAGCCAGGGUCCAGACUCCUACGGGAGGCAGCGGUAGGGAAUCUUCCGCAAUGGGCGAAAGCCUGACGGAGCAACGCCGCGUGAGUGAUGAAGGUCUUCGGAUCGUAAAACUCUGUUAUUAGGGAAGAACAAAUGUGUAAGUAACUAUGCACGUCUUGACGGUACCUAAUCAGAAAGCCACGGCUAACUACGUG
Molecule: ribosomal RNA, 497 nt
Filed under: uncultured bacterium
Lineage: Bacteria
Description: partial 16S ribosomal RNA
Rfam family: Bacterial small subunit ribosomal RNA
Source: RNAcentral